RNAcentral lists this ribosomal RNA (529 nucleotides) under uncultured bacterium. Its description in RNAcentral is "bacterial SSU rRNA". It matches the Rfam family "Bacterial small subunit ribosomal RNA", at positions 94 to 630 of the family's 1533-position model. The record is from RNAcentral.
CACGGCGCAGGGGGGUAACACGUGGGCAAUCUGCCCUCCGAUGGGGAAUAACGCGCGAAAGCGGGGCUAAUUCCGCAUAACAUUCCUUGGACUCACGUUCGAGGAUUCAAAGCAGCAAUGCGUCGGAGGAGGAGCCCGCGCCCGAUUAGCUAGUUGGUGAGGUAACGGCUCACCAAGGCAAUGAUCGGUAGCUGGUCUGAGAGGAUGGCCAGCCACACUGGAACUGAGACACGGUCCAGACUCCUACGGGAGGCAGCAGUGGGGAAUCUUGCACAAUGGGCGAAAGCCUGAUGCAGCGACGCCGCGUGGGGGAUGAAGCUUUUCGGAGUGUAAACCCCUUUCGCCUGGGACGAAUGCCCGCAAGGGAGUGACGGUACCAGGAUAAGAAGCCCCGGCUAACUACGUGCCAGCAGCCGCGGUAAGACGUAGGGGGCCAGCGUUGUUCGGAAUUACUGGGUGUAAAGGGUUCGUAGGCGGUGCGGCAAGUUGGGAGUGAAAUCUCUGGGCUCAACCCAGAGGCUGCUUCCAA